This is a long non-coding RNA of Aedes aegypti (yellow fever mosquito), 747 nucleotides long. RefSeq lists it as uncharacterized. Lineage: Eukaryota; Metazoa; Arthropoda; Insecta; Diptera; Culicidae. The record is from RefSeq and is a predicted model, not a curated record. The transcript is spliced from 3 exons.
GGCAAAAUGUAACCUAGCGUUAUGUUGUAAUCUUGCCCAGGAUUCAAAAAAAAUAUGAAUUGAAUUCGUUGAAAAUCCUGGCUAUGGAAUCCUGGUAAAAAUUCUGUGAGAUUCUUGCGAAUGUUGAGGCUGAUUUGCUGCUGACAAGAAAAGUAAUCGCCGAUCAAGAUACGUGGGAAAUUACUUGACUCUGCCCCAUUCAGUCAAGCAAUCUCGUGUCCAGAAUUCAGUUCUGAAAGUCGUGUCCAGAAUUCUUUAAAAAACCUGUUCAAGAUUUUGUAAAAAGCCUGCUUUCCUAAUAAUCCUGUCAAGAAUGAAAGUCGAAGGAAGCCAUGGUAGAAUCAUUGUUGAAACACCCAGAAUUUGAGAUUUAGAAUUUGAAUCAUUCAUAAAAUAAAAUAUCUAAGAGGGUUAAAAAACAAAACAAUUUAAAAAUUUACUAAGCUAGAAUAUUAGGUUGAAACUAAAUUGAAAAUUAAAUAGGCUUAGUAUGUUCUAACUUCGGGGUCAAUAAUUCAGAACUAUUCGAAUAACAUGUACGUGAGCCGACAAAUGCUGAGAUUUCAAGUUUUUAGAGUAAUAUUGUUGAUAAAAUGUCUACUAGUAGCGGAAGAUUUGGCGUGGAGCUUAGUGGCAAGCAUUAGCGGCAUUAUUGAUUAGAUGGACGAAGUCGCCGGAUGCAAUCCCGGAAUACCAGUGAACUUCGAUUUUGUCAAUGAUAUUAAAUUUGUUUGAUAUAUUAUUGUA